GACGAACGCUGGCGGCGUGCCUAAUACAUGCAAGUUGAGCGCUGAAGGUUGGUACUUGUACCAACUGGAUGAGCAGCGAACGGGUGAGUAACGCGUGGGGAAUCUGCCUUUGAGCGGGGGACAACAUUUGGAAACGAAUGCUAAUACCGCAUAAAAACUUUAAACACAAGUUUUAAGUUUGAAAGAUGCAAUUGCAUCACUCAAAGAUGAUCCCGCGUUGUAUUAGCUAGUUGGUGAGGUAAAGGCUCACCAAGGCGAUGAUACAUAGCCGACCUGAGAGGGUGAUCGGCCACAUUGGGACUGAGACACGGCCCAAACUCCUACGGGAGGCAGCAGUAGGGAAUCUUCGGCGAGGGACGAAAGUCUGACCGAGCAACGCCGCGUGAGUGAAGAAGGUUUUCGGAUCGUAAAACUCUGUUGGUAGAGAAGAACGUUGGUGAGAGUGGAAAGCUCAUCAAGUGACGGUAACUACCCAGAAAGGGACGGCUAACUACGUG
RNAcentral lists this ribosomal RNA (497 nucleotides) under uncultured bacterium. RNAcentral describes it as "partial 16S ribosomal RNA". It matches the Rfam family "Bacterial small subunit ribosomal RNA", at positions 28 to 507 of the family's 1533-position model. The record is from RNAcentral.